Molecule: ribosomal RNA, 1404 nt
Filed under: Triticum aestivum (bread wheat)
Lineage: Eukaryota; Viridiplantae; Streptophyta; Magnoliopsida; Poales; Poaceae
Description: partial small subunit ribosomal RNA
Source: RNAcentral
AUGUCGUCCUCCGCCGCCGCGAGCGCGUGGCGGCGCUCCCUCCGCGGCGCCCUCCUGCACGGCUCCCCGUGGCGCGCCUCCGCCCCCGCCCCCGCNNNNNNNNNNNNNNNNNNNNNNNNNNNNNNNNNNNNNNNNNNCGCGGCGCCCAUUAAGGUGCCCCCGCCUCCCCGCAAGGGUAGGCUUUUGACUGGGGCCAUGAUAGGAUUGGCCAUUGCUGGAGGUGCUUACGUGAGUACUACCGACGAGGCCACGUUUUGUGGGUGGUUAUUCAAAUCAACAGAACUCGUGAAUCCACUCUUUGCAUUGCUAGAUGCAGAGUUUGCUCAUCAGUUGGCUGUUUCUGCUGCUGCUCAUGGAUUUGUCCCAAGAGAAAAGAGACCUGAUCCACCAGUUCUUGGGAUAGAGGUUUGGGGAAGGAACUUUACAAAUCCAAUUGGUCUUGCUGCUGGUUUUGAUAAGAAUGCCGAGGCCGUGGAGGGUCUAUUGGGUCUUGGAUUUGGCUUUGUGGAAGUUGGCUCUGUAACACCUCAGCCUCAAGAGGGAAAUCCUAAGCCGCGAAUAUUCAGAUUGAAAGAGCAUGGUGCUGUAGUCAAUCGCUGCGGGUUCAACAGUGAAGGAAUUGUUGUAGUUGCUAAGCGUCUUGGGGCACAACAUGGUAAGAGGAAGAUGGAGGAAACUUCGAGCUCCAGUGAUGUAAAGCAAGGAGGGAAAGCAGGUCCUGGAAUUUUGGGAGUUAAUCUUGGCAAGAAUAAGACUAGUGAAGAUGCUGGUGCUGAUUACGUGCAAGGAGUUCAUUCGUUGUCACAGUAUGCUGAUUACCUGGUCAUAAAUGUUUCUUCCCCAAAUACUCCUGGUCUUCGCCAAUUGCAAGGUAGAAAGCAGCUGAAAGAACUUGUGAAGAAGGUGCAAGAUGCACGAGAUGAGAUGCAGUGGGCUGAAGAUGGUCCACCACCAUUGCUUGUGAAGAUCGCGCCGGACUUGUCGAAGCAGGAUCUUGAGGACAUUGCUGCGGUUGCUCUUGCUUCCAAGUUGGAUGGCCUGAUUAUAUCAAACACAACAAUUUCAAGGCCACCUCCUGCAGACGCACAUCCAUUAGCUCAGGAAGCCGGCGGAUUAAGUGGGAAGCCUCUGUUUGACUUAUCUACUCAAGUUCUCAGGGAUAUGUAUAUCCGUACAGCCGGCAAGGUUACGCUGAUAGGCUGUGGUGGUGUAACUAGCGGCGAGGACGCAUACAAGAAGAUACGUUCUGGAGCCACGCUUGUUCAGCUUUACACUGCACUUGCCUACGGAGGUCCAGCUCUCAUCCCGAGAAUAAAGGCCGAGCUUGCAGAAUGCUUGGAAAGAGACGGCUUCAAAUCUGUCCAGGAAGCAGUGGGAGCAGACUUCAAGCCCUUGAAGGCCUGA